UCAAAACGCAACCGUAUAUGGUUUUAAAUUAAUUUGACACGCACGCACUCCAGGCAACUCAACUCAACUCGCAAUUUCCUUCCAAACGCACGCAAAGCAAACCCUUCCUCUCUUUCUGGUUGUUUUCUUUAUGAGUGCAUGGCAAUUUGGGGGUUUUCUUUGGAAUUAGGGCAUAUACUUGCUGUGUUGAUCCUCUCAAUCUGAAACAGUGGAGAAGAUGUAAUCCUACCGAGAUUGUCGUUCGCGCACUCGUUGAUCGGUUGAUUGAUUGAUUAAUUGAUAGAGAAGUGGUAACUGUAACUGUAAGUGUGUGUAGUGAGGAUAGGGUUUUGGCAUGAAGGGUGCGUUGGAUCGGACGAAGGUGGUGCUGCGUCACUUGCCGCCCUCUCUUUCUGAGGCCGCGCUUUUGGCCCAAAUUGAUGCCGCCUUCGCUGACCGCUACAACUGGCUCUCUUUCCGUCCUGGCAAAAUCAGUAGUCAAUUGACCGUGCCUAGGCUUGGCCAGGCUAGGCUAGGCCAGAAGCAUAUAUCAUAUUCUAGAGCCUACAUUGACUUCAAGAGGCCAGAUGACGUUAUACUGUUUGCGGAGUUCUUUAAUGGACACGUCUUUGUGAAUGAAAAGGGAUCUCAGUUCAAAGUUAUUGUUGAAUAUGCUCCUUCCCAACGCGUUCCAAGACAGUGGUCUAAAAAGGAUGGUCGUGAUGGGACCAUAUAUAAAGAUUCUGAGUAUAUGGAGUUUCUUGAACUACUUUCCAAGCCUGUUGAGAAUCUUCCCAGCGCUGAGAUACAAUUGGAGAAGAGAGAAGCAGAACGAUCUGGUGCUGCAAAAGAUAUUCCUAUAAGUACACCACUGAUGGAUUUUGUGCGCCAGAAAAGAGCUGCCAAGGGACCUCGGAGGUCGUUAUCCAAUGGCAAAGUGAGUAGAAGAGGCACUUCAUCAAAUGGGAGUCCUAGUUCUGGCACAUCAAGACGAGGUUCCGGAAAGAAGAGGGUUUCUGCUACUAUGUAUGUUGCCAGGCACCCAGGGAAAAAUGCUACUAUGAAAGACAGAUCAAUUUAUACUUUGGUUCCUAGCCAAGGUGAUCAGCAUAUUUCAAGUAAAGCUUCAAAUAUGGCCUCUUCAGAUGGAAAACAAACCCUUGAUGAGAAUGGAGUUUCUGGAAAUAAUGAUGCUGGAAAAAAAAGAGUACUGCUUCGUAAAGGGAAAGAAAGAGAGAUAAUUGCUGUAUCUGAUUUAGAUAGCAUGUCACAGCAUCACAAUAUAACAUCUUCAGCUAAAGAAAUUCUUGGUGCAACAGUUUUGAAGCAGAAUCAGAGGCAUGAAGGUAGCGGAAGGAUUAUCAGAAGUAUACUCUCAAAAAAGGAGUUGCGUCAAAGCCAAUCUUCCAGGGCACUCUCUGAGCAGCAAAUCCAAAAAUCUAAUCUAGGAAAAGAAAAACAAUCCCCUCGGCCCAUACACGUGCAACUAAUUCUGAAGGGCAUGAAUGGUACAUCAGAGAAUAAGAUUGGUGUGCAUGAUUCACAUGUAUCUAGCGAGAGGCAGGAUAGGCAUACUAGGCAUAAAGAUAGACCAGAUCGUGGUGUUUGGACAAGUUCCAAUGGAGCUGAUGAGUCUUUCUCAUCUGCUGCUUCCUCACAAGUAGAUCCUUUCGAAGGAAGAAGUGCAGAUUUGAAACAUGACAUGCCAAAUGCAAGAAGUGGGGAGGUAAAAUCUCUUGGAGGUGUCCGUACCAGUCAUUCAUCAGAAAAUGGCUUCAAGCAUUUUGGUCGCCGCGGACCAACACAUGGGGUAAAGGAUGUUGAUAGCUAUUCAGUUUCAAGUGAAGGGAAGCAUCCUAGAAGAUCUGGUACCACUGCUUAUGGUUCCAACGAGAAACAAGUUUGGGUUCAAAAAGCAAGUUCUGGUACCUAGAGUAUUUUUUAUUGGUCAGGGGUUGAAUUCAAGAAAAGCCUCUUUAUAUAUGCAUGGGGUAAGGCUGUGUACAAUGAUCCUUCCCUGUACCUUCGCAUAGCAAAGAGUCUUCAGGAACAGGGUGGGUCCUUCGCUUUGGGACCUUCCCUGGAAGAUGCAAAUAUUUUAAAUGAUUGGAAUAUGUUGUUUCCUAACCCAAAAUUGGUAAGCUUGCUGACAUACAGAUUUGGAGCAUCCAUUUGCUAGCUGCUGGAUUCUGUCCCUUUUUAGUUGACAGAUUCUUACAAGUAAACGAGUGUGUGGUUAAAAAAAUUCUUUUACAAUACAAGAGAGGAGAGUACCAUGAUGCAUUUGAUUUGGCUAAAAAUAUUCAGACAUUACUUCAUUGAAGAUGGCUCCUAGUAAAAGCGAGAUGAGAACAAUGGCCUGGUGUCCCAGUUACUAGUUGCUUGUUUGAAGAAAUAUGGAGAUUUGCCAACCGUGGCAAGUUGACCUAGAUGACCAUAGUCUGGGUUUAUACACAGUUAAUCUUUGAGUGGAUUUAGUGUAAAUAUAAAUCCAGGGUAUUGUGUAUCUGUUUCCUUAGUUCCUAUAAGUACAAACCCCUAUUCGAGGUAAUGUGUACCUGUGUCCUUAGUUCCUAUAUCGAUUAGAAGUCCGCCAAAUACAAUUGGGUGCAAUUGGGCGCUUGAAAUGAUCCUGGAAAGUUUUUGGAUCAUCUUUGCUCACUACUUCGAAGCAACACUCCAUGGAUGACGUUUCAGCUUCGUGUAUUCGGUCUUUGUUGACAAUGAAGUUUCUUGUAGAGCUUAGACACUUAAAUACCAUUGAUGGUGUGUUACUAAGGAUAAAUAAGGGUAUUGAGGGAGUCAUAAGUGUGUGGAUAUUGAUUUACGUCUAAAAUAUCAUUGUACAGUAUGGUGUUGCAUUUCUCAGCAUAACUCAGCUGUGACAUAUUACCGGCUCUUGAUUAUAUUGUCAAUUAUGUGAAUUGCUGCCUUCAGCGCAAAUGUUUAAUUAUAAUACGCUGUUAAAGUUACGUCCAA
RNA transcript from Vigna unguiculata (cowpea), 2958 nucleotides. It is a transcript of the gene named regulator of nonsense transcripts UPF3-like, with no coding region annotated. NCBI's taxonomy places the organism in Eukaryota, Viridiplantae, Streptophyta, Magnoliopsida, Fabales, Fabaceae. The record is from RefSeq and is a predicted model, not a curated record.